RNAcentral lists this ribosomal RNA (373 nucleotides) under uncultured bacterium. Its description in RNAcentral is "bacterial SSU rRNA". It matches the Rfam family "Bacterial small subunit ribosomal RNA", at positions 93 to 500 of the family's 1533-position model. The record is from RNAcentral.
UAGUGGCGGACGGGUGAGUAACGCGUGAGAAUCUGCCCUCAGGAGGGGGAUAACGGCUGGAAACGGCCGCUAAUACCCCAUAUGCCGAGAGGUGAAAUGAAUUUCGCCUGAGGAUGAGCUCGCGUCUGAUUAGCUAGUUGGUGUGGUAAAGGCUCACCAAGGCUUCGAUCAGUAGCUGGUCUGAGAGGAUGAUCAGCCACACUGGGACUGAGACACGGCCCAGACUCCUACGGGAGGCAGCAGUGGGGAAUUUUCCGCAAUGGGCGCAAGCCUGACGGAGCAACGCCGCGUGAGGGAUGAAGGCCUCUGGGCUGUAAACCUCUUUUAUCAAGGAAGAAGGUCAGACGGUACUUGAUGAAUAAGCCACGGCUAA